UGGCGAGCUUAACCGAAUAGGGGAGGCGUAGCGAAAGCGAGUCUUAAUAGGGCGUCUAGUCGCUGGGUAUAGACCCGAAACCGGGCGAUCUAUCCAUGGGCAGGUUGAAGGUUAGGUAACACUGACUGGAGGACCGAACCGACUACCGUUGAAAAGUUAGCGGAUGACCUGUGGAUCGGAGUGAAAGGCUAAUCAAGCUCGGAGAUAGCUGGUUCUCCUCGAAAGCUAUUUAGGUAGCGCCUCAUGUAUCACUGUAGGGGGUAGAGCACUGUUUCGGCUAGGGGGUCAUCCCGACUUACCAAACCGAUGCAAACUCCGAAUACCUACAAGUGCCGAGCAUGGGAGACACACGGCGGGUGCUAACGUCCGUCGUGAAAAGGGAAACAACCCAGACCGUCAGCUAAGGUCCCAAAGUCAUGGUUAAGUGGGAAACGAUGUGGGAAGGCUUAGACAGCUAGGAGGUUGGCUUAGAAGCAGCCACCCUUUAAAGAAAGCGUAAUAGCUCACUAGUCGAGUCGGCCUGCGCGGAAGAUGUAACGGGGCUCAAACCAUGCACCGAAGCUACGGGUAUCACGUAAGUGAUGCGGUAGAGGAGCGUUCUGUAAGCCUGUGAAGGUGAGUUGAGAAGCUUGCUGGAGGUAUCAGAAGUGCGAAUGCUGACAUGAGUAACGACAAUG
RNAcentral lists this ribosomal RNA (677 nucleotides) under Mesorhizobium sp. RNAcentral describes it as "partial 23S ribosomal RNA". It matches the Rfam family "Bacterial large subunit ribosomal RNA", at positions 638 to 1317 of the family's 2925-position model. Lineage: Bacteria; Pseudomonadati; Pseudomonadota; Alphaproteobacteria; Hyphomicrobiales; Phyllobacteriaceae. The record is from RNAcentral.